GCUUGCUGGGUGGAUUAGUGGCGAACGGGUGAGUAACACGUGAGUAACCUGCCCUUCACUCUGGGAUAACUCCGGGAAACCGGUGCUAAUACUGGAUAUGACUCCAACCUGCAUGGGUAUGGGGUGGAAAGAUUUAUCGGUGGAGGAUGGACUCGCGGCCUAUCAGCUUGUUGGUGGGGUAAUGGCCUACCAAGGCGACGACGGGUAGCCGGCCUGAGAGGGUGACCGGCCACACUGGGACUGAGACACGGCCCAGACUCCUACGGGAGGCAGCAGUGGGGAAUAUUGCACAAUGGGCGAAAGCCUGAUGCAGCGACGCCGCGUGAGGGAUGACGGCCUUCGGGUUGUAAACCUCUUUCAGCUCUGACGAAGCCUUUGGGUGACGGUAGGAGCAGAAGAAGCACCGGCUAACUACGUGCCAGCAGCCGCGGUAAUACGUAGGGUGCGAGCGUUGUCCGGAAUUAUUGGGCGUAAAGAGCUUGUAGGCGGUUUGUCGCGUCUGCUGUGAAAGCCCGGGGCUUAACCCCGGGUCUGCAGUGGGUACGGGCAGGCUAUAGUGUGGUAGGGGAGACUGGAAUUCCUGGUGUAGCGG
This 592-nucleotide ribosomal RNA is filed under the name marine bacterium AK16_011. RNAcentral describes it as "bacterial SSU rRNA". It matches the Rfam family "Bacterial small subunit ribosomal RNA", at positions 78 to 681 of the family's 1533-position model. The record is from RNAcentral.